RNAcentral lists this ribosomal RNA (254 nucleotides) under uncultured bacterium. RNAcentral's name for it is "partial 16S ribosomal RNA". It matches the Rfam family "Bacterial small subunit ribosomal RNA", at positions 524 to 776 of the family's 1533-position model. The record is from RNAcentral.
UACGGAGGGUGCAAGCGUUAUCCGGAAUCACUGGGGUUAAAGGGUGCGUAGGCGGUCAGAUAAGUCAGUUGUGAAAUACCCCGGCUUAACCGGAGGAACUGCGAUUGAUACUGUUUGACUUGAAUCAGGUUGAGGUAGGCGGAAUGUGGCAUGUAGCGGUGAAAUGCUUAGAUAUGCCAUAGAACACCGAUUGCGAAGGCAGCUUGCUGGGCCUGUAUUGACGCUGAGGCACGAAAGCGUGGGGAGCAAACAGG